GUCUAAGUAGCAUAGCGGUAAGUGCACAGCCCCGGAUAGGUUGAGACGCGGGUUCGAAUCCGGCCUGAGAUG
RNAcentral lists this transfer RNA (72 nucleotides) under Nippostrongylus brasiliensis. It matches the Rfam family "tRNA". From Rfam's summary of the family: Transfer RNA (tRNA) molecules are approximately 80 nucleotides in length. Lineage: Eukaryota; Metazoa; Nematoda; Chromadorea; Rhabditida; Heligmosomidae. The record is from Rfam by way of RNAcentral.